UGAAUGCACUGAAGUCAGAGAUUUACGAGUUCCCAGUUGUCUUGAAUGCACUGGAGUCGGAAAUUUCCUAGUUCCCAGUUGUCUUGAACGCAUUGAAGUUGGAGAUUUACGAGUUUCCAGUUGUUUAGAAUGCAGCAUUUAGUCAUGAGAAAGUACUUUUCAGAAUGACUUCAGGACCUUUAUCCACUAUUAUCGCACACUGAGUGAGUCCAUGCAACUUGUUACGUGACAUUUUUACUCCUGAACUUAUUUAGGCUUGCCAUAAAAAACUCAAAGUUAAAUACUUAUUGACUCAAGACAUUUCAGCUUUUCAUUUUGAAUUCAUUUUUAACAAUUUCGAAAAACAUAAUUACAUUGUGACGACAAACACCACCGCUCAAAAGUUUGUCCUUGUUUUUAAAAGAACAAUACAUUUUUUGUUCAUUAAAAUAGCGUCAAAUUGAUCAGGAAUCCAGUGUAGAUAUUGUGAAUGUUGUAAAUGACUAUUGUAGCUGGAAACUGUAGAUUUUUUAAAUGAAAUAUCUACAUAGGCGUAUAGAGGCCCGUUAUCAGCAACCAUCGCUCCUGUGUUCCAAUGGCACGUUGUGUUAACUGGCAGCUCCAUUAAAUAGUACCUGCUAAAGGAGGGGACUCCGGGAUGCUGGCCUUCUAGGCAGAGUUGUAAAGAAAAGGCCAUAUCUCAGACUGGUCAAUACAAAUAACAGAUGGGAAAAAGAACACAGACACUGGACAGAGGAACUCUGCCUAGAAGGCCAGCAUGCAGGAGUCACCUCUUCACUGUUGACAAUGAGACUGGUGUUUUGCGGAUACUAUUUAAUGAAGCUGCCAGUUGAGGACUUGUGAGGCGUCUGUUUCUCAAACUAGACACUCUAAUGUACUUGUCCUCUUGCUCAGUUGUGCACCGGGGCCUCCCACUCCUCUUUCUAUUCUAGUUAGAGCCAGUUUGCGUUGUUCUGUGAAGGGAGUAGGACACAGCAUUGUACAAGAGCUUCAGUUUCUUGGCAAUUUCUCACAUGGAAUAGCCUUCAUUUCUCAGAACAAGAAUAGACUGAUGAGUUUCAGAAGAAAGGUCUUUGUUUCUGGCCAUUUUGAGCCUGGAUUCGAACCCACAAAUGCUGAUGCUCCAGAUACUCAACUAGUCUAAAGAAGGCCAGUUUUAUUGCUUCUUUAAUAAGAACAACCGUUUUCAGCUGUGCUAACAUAAUCACAAAAAGGUUUUCUAAUGAUCAAUCAGACUUUUAAAAUGAUAAACUUGGAUUAGCUAACACAACGUGCCAUUGGAACACAGGAUUGAUGGUUGCUGAUAAUGGUCCUCUGUACGCCUAUGUAGAUAUUCCAUAACAAAUCUGAUGUUUUGAUGUUAUUUUAAUUGACACAUUUUUUUGCUUUUCUUAAAAAAAAAACGAGGACAUUUCUAAGUGACCCCAAAAUGUUGAAUGGUAGUGUAUAUUUAAUCAAUUUUGAGUACAGGCUGUAACACAACAUGGCAAAAGUCAAGAGGUGUGAAUACUUUCUGAAAGCACAUUCUUAUCAGGUAUUUUUUUUUCUAGCUAACCAAUAAUAGGUAUAUUCCCUUCCUCUCCUCUUCCUUUCCUCGCAGCCAUGGCAACGUUGUUGGAGGAGGUGCUGCUGGUGGUGAAGAGGGUCCGACAGAGGAAGCAGGACGGGACCUUCUACCCGAUGGCAGAGAUGGGGACCAGAGGGAAAAGACUGCUCUACCGUUAGCCACCUGUAUGCUGACAUACACUGCCAUUCUAACUUGAAAAACGUAGCAGGCCACUGGCUGUUCGGCGCACGGCAUACACAGAUUAACCAGUGCCUUUUGAAGAGGUCGUAGGUAACAGAGAUCCUGCAGAGCCAAGUGCAGUACUCUCUACGUUACAAAAGGUUGAGCAGAGGCAGUGGUGCUUGCAGUACUCACCUACACCAUGCUACGGUCAGAAGAUCAGCCCAGACGGCAAGGCCAAGAUUCAGCUGCAGUUGGUCCUACACACGGGGGAGAGCACCAACCUCCACUUCUCCAAUGAGAGCACUGCCAUGAAAGACCCGCGAUGCAGCCAAGAACCUCCUGCAGCAGCUGCUGCCCAAGUUCAAGAAGAGGGCUAACAAGGAACUGGAGGAGAAGAACAGAAUGUUACAGGAAGAUCCGGUGCUGUUCCAGCUGAACAAGGAUCUGGUCGUAAGUCAGGUGAUCAGUGCUGAAGAGUUCUGGGCCAAUCGGCUGAGCAUGAACAGCGUGGACCACUCCUUCUCCAACAACAAGCAGGAAGUGGGCAUCUCAGCAGCCUUCCUGAUAACCUCUCAUCUUUUGUGAAAACUGAUGCGUCCUCUCCUUCAGUGUGGAAUUGCAUGGAACUGUGUUGACAGGCAUUGAUCUACACGUCAUUAUGCAUGCUCUCACCUGGAUUCACCUGGUCCGUCUGUGUCAUGGAAAGAACAGCUGUUUCUAAUGGUUAGUAUACUGUGUCUUCAUUGGUUACGUCAUAGCUCAUUUGUAAACUAUAAAUAUUGGUACAUUACUAGCUCAAACACAAUCUGCAAAAAUGACAAGUUAAUUAUUUGGUGAUGGGGAGUUCAGAACAAAGGUGGGGGGACAAUAUGUGUAUGCGAUCAGUAAGAUUAUAUUUUAUUUUGACAAACUGGCUACAUUGCCCCCGCCCUCCCCCCAUAUGAUGGUGGUAGUGGGUAUUAGUUGUCUAGUCUUGCUGAAAGCACUGUGGUAGAUGUCUAGUCUCCCUUCUGGCUCUAAUCUGAUAGUGGGGUGGUAGAUGUCUAGUCUCCUUUAUGGCUCUAAUCUGAUAGUGGGGUGGUAGAUGUCUAGUCUCCAUUAUGGCUCUAAUCUGAUAGUGGUAGUGGGUGGUAGAUGUCUAGUCUAUCUUUUGGCUCUAAUCUGAUAGUGGCAGAUGUCUAGUCUCCUUUAUGGCUCUAAUCUGAUAGUGAUUGUGAGGUGGUAGAUGUCUAGUCUCCCUUUUGGCUCUAAUCUAAUAGUGGUAGUGGGGUGGUAGAUGUCUAGUCUCCCUUUUGGCUCUAAUCUAAUAGUGAUAGUGGGGUGGUAGAUGUCUAGUCUUCAUUUUGGCUCUAAUCUGAUAGUGGUAGGUGUCUCCAUUUUGGCUCUAAUCUGAUAGUGGUAGUGGUAUAUGUGGUAUAGGUGGUGUAACUCUCCUUCCGUGGCCUCCAAUUGCUCUUAAAUACAAGUAAAACUAAAUGCAUGCUCUUCAACCGAUCGCUACCUGCACCUACCCGCCUGUCCAACAUCACUACUCUGGACGGCUCUGACUUAGAAUACGUGGACAACUACAAAUACUUAGGUGUCUGGUUAGACUGUAAACUCUCCUUCCAGACCCAUAUCAAACAUCUCCAAUCCAAAGUUAAAUCUAGAAUUGGCUUCCUAUUUCGCAACAAAGCAUCCUUCACUCAUGCUGCCAAACAUACCCUUGUAAAACUGACCAUCCUACCAAUCCUCGACUUUGGCGAUGUCACUUACAAAAUAGCCUCCAAUACCCUACUCAACAAAUUGGAUGCAGUCUAUCACAGUGCAAUCAGUUUUGUCACCAAAGCCCCGUAUACUACCCACCAUUGCGACCUGUACGCUCUCGUUGGCUGGCCCUCGCUUCAUACUCGUCGCCAAACCCACUGGCUCCAUGUCAUCUACAAGACCCUGCUAGGUAAAGUCACCCCUUAUCUCAGCUCGCUGGUCACCAUAGCAUCUCCCACCUGUAGCACACGCUCCAGCAGGUAUAUCUCUCUAGUCAUCCCCAAAACCAAUUAUUUCUUUGGCCGCCUCUCCUUCCAGUUCUCUACUGCCAAUGACUGGAACGAACUACAAAAAUCUCUGAAACUGGAAACACUUAUCUCCCUCACUAGCUUUAAGCACCAACUGUCAGAGCAGCUCACAGAUUACUGCACCUGUACAUAGCCCACCUAUAAUUUAUCCCAAACAACUACCUCUUUCCCAAAUGUAUUUAAUUAAUUAAUUAAUUUUGCUCAUUUGCACACCAUUAUUUGUAUUUCUACUUUGCACAUUCUUCUAUUGCAAAACUACCAUUCCAGUGUUUUACUUGCUAUAUUGUAUUUACUUUGCCACCAUGGCCUUUUUUGCCUUUACCUCCCUUCUCACCUCAUUUGCUCACAUUGUAUAUAGACUUGUUUAUACUGUAUUAUUGACUGUAUGUUUGUUUUACUCCAUAUGUAACUCUGUGUUGUUGUAUCUGUCGAACUGCUUUGCUUUAUC
This is a long non-coding RNA of Oncorhynchus nerka (sockeye salmon), 4231 nucleotides long. RefSeq lists it as uncharacterized. NCBI's taxonomy places the organism in Eukaryota, Metazoa, Chordata, Actinopteri, Salmoniformes, Salmonidae. The transcript has 6 exons. The record is from RefSeq and is a predicted model, not a curated record.